Molecule: ribosomal RNA, 400 nt
Filed under: uncultured bacterium
Lineage: Bacteria
Description: bacterial SSU rRNA
Rfam family: Bacterial small subunit ribosomal RNA
Source: RNAcentral
GGGGGAUAUUGCACAAUGGGCGAAAGCCUGAUGCAGCGACGCCGCGUGUAGGAAGACGGUCCUCUGGAUUGUAAACUACUGUCUUCAGGGACGAAAAUGACGGUACCUGAGGAGGAAGCUCCGGCUAACUACGUGCCAGCAGCCGCGGUAAUACGUAGGGAGCGAGCGUUGUCCGGAAUUACUGGGUGUAAAGGGAGCGUAGGCGGGUAUGCAAGUAUGUUGUUAAAACUAUCGGCUCAACCGGUAGAUGCGGCAUAAACUGCAUAUCUUGAGUGAAGUAGAGGCAGGCGGAAUUCCCAGUGUAGCGGUGAAAUGCGUAGAUAUUGGGAGGAACACCAGUGGCGAAGGCGGCCUGCUGGGCUUUUACUGACGCUGAGGCUCGAAAGUGUGGGGAGCAAAC